This 482-nucleotide ribosomal RNA is filed under the name uncultured bacterium. RNAcentral's name for it is "partial 16S ribosomal RNA". It matches the Rfam family "Bacterial small subunit ribosomal RNA", at positions 28 to 523 of the family's 1533-position model. The record is from RNAcentral.
GACGAACGCUGGCGGCGUGCUUAACACAUGCAAGUCGAACGAUGAAGCCCAGCUUGCUGGGUGGAUUAGUGGCGAACGGGUGAGUAACACGUGGGCAACCUGCCCCAAACUCUGGGAUAACUCCUCGAAAGAGGUACUAAUACCGGAUACGAACUAGGUAGACAUCUGCACUAGUUGGAAAGUUUUUCGGUUUGGGAUGGGCCCGCGGCCUAUCAGCUUGUUGGUGAGGUAACGGCUCACCAAGGCUACGACGGGUAACCGGCCUGAGAGGGCGACCGGUAACACUGGGGCUGAGACACGGCCCAGACUCCUACGGGAGGCAGCAGUGGGGAAUAUUGCGCAAUGGGCGAAAGCCCGACGCAGCGACGCCGCGUGAGGGAUGAAGGUCUUCGGAUCGUAAACCUCUUUCAGUAGGGACGAAGCGAAAGUGACGGUACCUAAAGAAGAAGCACCGGCUAACUACGUGCCAGCCGCCGCGGUAA